This 1432-nucleotide ribosomal RNA is filed under the name uncultured organism. RNAcentral's name for it is "16S ribosomal RNA". It matches the Rfam family "Bacterial small subunit ribosomal RNA". The record is from RNAcentral.
UUAACACAUGCAAGUCGAACGGAAAGGCCCUGCUUUUGUGGGGUGCUCGAGUGGCGAACGGGUGAGUAACACGUGAGUAACCUGCCCUUGACUUUGGGAUAACUUCAGGAAACUGGGGCUAAUACCGGAUAGGAGCUCCUGCUGCAUGGUGGGGGUUGGAAAAUUUCGGCGGUUGGGGAUGGACUCGCGGCUUAUCAGCUUGUUGGUGGGGUAGUGGCUUACCAAGGCUUUGACGGGUAGCCGGCCUGAGAGGGUGACCGGCCACAUUGGGACUGAGAUACGGCCCAGACUCCUACGGGAGGCAGCAGUGGGGAAUAUCGCACAAUGGGCGGAAGCCUGAUGCAGCAACGCCGCGUGCGGGAUGACGGCCUUCGGGUUGUAAACCGCUUUCGCCUGUGACGAAGCGUGAGUGACGGUAAUGGGUAAAGAAGCACCGGCUAACUACGUGCCAGCAGCCGCGGUGAUACGUAGGGUGCGAGCGUUGUCCGGAUUUAUUGGGCGUAAAGGGCUCGUAGGUGGUUGAUCGCGUCGGAAGUGUAAUCUUGGGGCUUAACCCUGAGCGUGCUUUCGAUACGGGUUGACUUGAGGAAGGUAGGGGAGAAUGGAAUUCCUGACGGAGCGGUGGAAUGCGCAGAUAUCAGGAGGAACACCAGUGGCGAAGGCGGUUCUCUGGGCCUUUCCUGACGCUGAGGAGCGAAAGCGUGGGGAGCGAACAGGCUUAGAUACCCUGGUAGUCCACGCUGUAAACGGUGGGUACUAGGUGUGGGGUCCAUUCCACGGGUUCCGUGCCGUAGCUAACGCUUUAAGUACCCCGCCUGGGGAGUACGGCCGCAAGGCUAAAACUCAAAGGAAUUGACGGGGCCCCGCACAAGCGGCGGAGCAUGCGGAUUAAUUCGAUGCAACGCGUAGAACCUUACCUGGGUUUGACAUGGAUCGGGAGUGCUCAGAGAUGGGUGUGCCUCUUUUGGGGUCGGUUCACAGGUGGUGCAUGGCUGUCGUCAGCUCGUGUCGUGAGAUGUUGGGUUAAGUCCCGCAACGAGCGCAACCCUUGUUCACUGUUGCCAGCACGUUAUGGUGGGGACUCAGUGGAGACCGCCGGGGUCAACUCGGAGGAAGGUGGGGAUGACGUCAAGUCAUCAUGCCCCUUAUGUCCAGGGCUUCACGCAUGCUACAAUGGCUGGUACAGAGAGUGGCGAGCCUGUGAGGGUGAGCGAAUCUCGGAAAGCCGGUCUCAGUUCGGAUUGGGGUCUGCAACUCGACCUCAUGAAGUCGGAGUCGCUAGUAAUCGCAGAUCAGCAACGCUGCGGUGAAUACGUUCCCGGGGCUUGUACACACCGCCCGUCAAGUCAUGAAAGUUGGUAACACCCGAAGCCGGUGGCCUAACCGUUGUGGGGGAGCCGUCGAAGGUGGGACUGGUGAUUAGGACUAAGUC